GGUGAACGCUGGCGGCAGGCCUAAUACAUGCAAGUCGAGCGAACAGACGAGCAGCUCGCUCCUCUGACGUUGGCGGGGGGCGGACGAGUGAGGAGUGGAUAACCUACCAAUUAGACUUGGAUGACACCGGGAAACCCGAGCUGAUACCGGACAAUACAUUGAACUGCACGCUCCAUAGGCGAAAGAGGCCUUUCCCGGCCCAUCUAGAUGGAGUCGGGGCGCAUUAGCUGGGUGGUAAGGUCACGGCCCACCAAGGCGACGAUGCUUAGCCGACCUGAGGGGAUGAUCGGCGACACUGGAACUGAGACACGGUCCAGACUCCUACGGGAGGCAGCAGUAGGGAAUAUGCCGCAAUGGGCGAAAGCCUGACGGAGCCAGGCCGCGUGGGUGAGGAAGGUCUUCGGAUCGUAAAGCUCUGUGCUUAGGGAAGAAAAACUGUGGAUGUAAAUCAAGUUGUCUUGACGGUACCAAAGCAGAAAGCGCCGGCUAACUCCGUG
Molecule: ribosomal RNA, 497 nt
Filed under: uncultured bacterium
Lineage: Bacteria
Description: partial 16S ribosomal RNA
Rfam family: Bacterial small subunit ribosomal RNA
Source: RNAcentral